UUUGUGUAAAACUGGUGGGACCAUGUACGUCCCUUUUAAAUUAAAAGAAAACAUACGUGACAGAAGUAACACUUUCCGUUUUGAUCAUCCUGUAUCACUCAGUCCAGAAGAAGGACCACCUUUCUCUUGGUUAGCUGGUUUCAAGCCCCGGUUUAUGUUUAGCUGAUGCCCUGUAUUGCCCUUUUCAAAACUCGUGUCUUACCGUUUUGAAGCACAAUUGAGGACCACCGAUUACCAAACUUUGCUUUCGUCUUCAUUUUGGCUUCCGAUUCUUUGCUCUCCAUCUACUUCGCCGGUUGCUUUCACUUCCCGAUUCUCGAUUUCCCGUCGCCCGACUCCGAUUGCUUUCACUUCCUGAUCGACGAUUUCUCCGUCUUGUCCUAAAUUGUAUUGAAAUUGCCGUCUUCUCCAUCGUCUUCGUUGAGGUUCUGGUCUCUGAGAUAGCUCUCUAGGUCUUUCCAUUUUACCUCAGAUUCUUCUAUGGAAACUUUGAAUCAUCCAUGGAGAACAAACGAUUGUGUUGGAAAAUAUGGACUGCAUCUUCUGGUGCGGGUUGAUGAUUUGAAAAACCUUCAGAAACAAAUGUUCUUUGUAGUAACUGGAGAAGUCGGAAGCACCCAAUCAUAUGGUUUAAAGGUGCAGCUGAUGCUGAUGCAAAUAUUCUUCUGUGUUAUUUGGGAAUACUGGGUUCUUUUGGGUGGUGGAGGGUAGGAAAAAGCCAGUUGCGGGUUUCUGUUCGAUAAACUAUUUGAGAUAUUUCUAAACCAAAAGAGUAAGACAUCGUUACUUUUUGAUCUCCUUACUGAAGGUUAGUCGAUUAUCUUCCUUCCUCACAUGGUUUUAUCUUUUAUAUGUUCAUUAAUGGUGAAAAUAUUUUGCUAAAUUUCGGUCUAUCUUCUAAAUAUCUAUUUUAUGCAAAUUGAUAUGGAUUAAACUAGCUAGUGCAAUGAUGAUGUGUGAAACUGUAUGAUGUGCUCUUUAUGUCUAGAAAGAUGUAGAAUAUAUAUUGUGUUUAUAUGUCAUGCAAGUCAAUGAAAUGAUUAUUUUUGUUUAA
Non-coding RNA from Lactuca sativa (garden lettuce), 1054 nucleotides. The record is from RefSeq and is a predicted model, not a curated record. NCBI's taxonomy places the organism in Eukaryota, Viridiplantae, Streptophyta, Magnoliopsida, Asterales, Asteraceae.